UCGUGCCGAAAGCCAUUGACGGCCCCCCGGACACUCCGCUGGGUGUCGCACUGGUGAUCGACCUCGGCCUGCUGGUCCUCUUCGGCCUGCAGCACAGCGUGAUGGCCCGGCCGGCGUUCAAGCGCGUCUGGACGCAAAUCGUGCCCGACCCGAUCGAGCGCAGCACGUACAUGCUGUUCACGAACGCGGCGCUGGCGGUCCUGUUUCUGCUCUGGCAGCCGAUUGAUCUGCCCGUCUGGAACAUCGAAAAUCCGGCGGCCCGGGCGGCGAUGUGGACGCUCUACGCCGGCGGCUGGGGAAUCGUGCUCCUGGCCACGUUCCUGCUGAAUCACUUCGACCUCUUCGGCCUGCGCCAGGUAUGGCUGCAACUGAUCGGGCGGCCAUACACGCACCUGCCGUUCAAGACGCCCCUCUUCUACGCACGGAUUCGGCACCCGCUGUACGUCGGCUGGAUGAUCCUGUUCUGGUCCGCGCCGACGAUGACGCUCGGCCACGCGCUGUUUGCAGCGGCGCUGACGGCCUACAUGCUGAUCGCCAUCCGCAUGGAAGAGCGCAAUCUCGUGCAGUUCCACGGCCGGGCGUACGCGGACUACCGCCGCCGCACGCCGAUGCUCGUGCCCCGUCUGCUGACCCGGCGAGAGCCCUCGGCCGCGCCUGACGCGUCGUCGGCCGCAUGAGUCCCUCACACAGAAAAAACUCACCACGGAGACACGGAGACACGGAGAAGAGAACGAACCACGGAUGAACACGGAUAGGCACGGAUACGGAAAAGACAAAGCAUCGAUUCACUUUCUUGAGGUUCUACUUCCCCAUCCGUAUUCAUUCGUGUUCAUCCGUGGUUUCUCUCUCCUGGUCUUCUCCGUGUCUCCGUGGUCAUUCUUCCUUGUAUUCGUCACUUCCAAAGGAGUAUCACAAUGC
This 918-nucleotide unclassified non-coding RNA is filed under the name uncultured fungus. RNAcentral describes it as "sequence contains 18S rRNA gene, ITS1, 5.8S rRNA gene, ITS2, 28S rRNA gene". The record is from RNAcentral. Lineage: Eukaryota; Fungi.